This 253-nucleotide ribosomal RNA is filed under the name uncultured bacterium. RNAcentral describes it as "partial 16S ribosomal RNA". It matches the Rfam family "Bacterial small subunit ribosomal RNA", at positions 524 to 776 of the family's 1533-position model. The record is from RNAcentral.
UACGGGGGGAGCAAGCGUUGUUCGGAUUUACUGGGCGUAAAGGGCGCGUAGGCGGUAGCACAAGUCAGUUGUGAAAUCUCCGGGCUUAACUCGGAAAGGUCAACUGAUACUGUGCGACUAGAGUGCAGAAGGGGCAACUGGAAUUCUCGGUGUAGCGGUGAAAUGCGUAGAUAUCGAGAGGAACACCUGCGGCGAAGGCGGGUUGCUGGGCUGACAAUGACGCUGAGGCGCGAAAGCCAGGGGAGCGAACGGG